Molecule: ribosomal RNA, 397 nt
Filed under: Salmonella enterica subsp. enterica serovar Enteritidis
Lineage: Bacteria; Pseudomonadati; Pseudomonadota; Gammaproteobacteria; Enterobacterales; Enterobacteriaceae
Description: bacterial SSU rRNA
Rfam family: Bacterial small subunit ribosomal RNA
Source: RNAcentral
GGGGAAUAUUGCACAAUGUGCGCAAGCCUGAUGCAGCCAUGCCGCGUGUAUGAAGAAGGCCUUCGGGUUGUAAAGUACUUUCAGCGGGUAGGAAGUUGUUGUGGUUACUUACCGCAGCAAUUGACGUUAUCCGCAGAAGAAGCACCGGCUAACUCCGUGCCAGCAGCCGCGGUAAUACGGCGGGUGCAAGCGUUAAUCGGCAUUACUGGGCGUAAAGCGCACGCAGGCGGCCUGUCAAGUCGGAUGUGAAAUCCCCGGGCUCAACCUGGGAACCGCAUUCGAAACUGGCGGGCUUGAGGCUGGGAGAGGGGGGUAGAAUUCUAGGUGUAGCGGUGAAAUGCGUAGGGAUCUGGAGGAAUACCGGUGGCGCAGCCUGCCUCCUGGACCACGACUGACG